AUGAAGACCAUUCUCAGCAAUCAGACUGUCAAUAUUCCAGAAAAUGUCGACAUCACUCUGAAGGGGCACAGAGUCAUUGUGAAGGCUGCAGGGGAACUCUGCAGAGGGCCUUCAGUCACAUUAAUGCAGGGCUGAGUCUCCUUGGAAAGAAAAAGAAGAGGUUUAGGGGCAAUAAAUGUGGGGUAACAGAAAGGAACUGGCCACUGUCAGAACCAUCUGUUCUCAUGCUCAGAACACAAUCAAGGACAUUACACUGGCC
Molecule: long non-coding RNA, 259 nt
Filed under: Mus musculus (house mouse)
Lineage: Eukaryota; Metazoa; Chordata; Mammalia; Rodentia; Muridae
Description: long non-coding RNA chrX:49560625-49560884
Source: RNAcentral